This 393-nucleotide ribosomal RNA is filed under the name uncultured bacterium. Its description in RNAcentral is "bacterial SSU rRNA". It matches the Rfam family "Bacterial small subunit ribosomal RNA", at positions 28 to 424 of the family's 1533-position model. The record is from RNAcentral.
GACGAACGCUGGCGGCGUGCUUAACACAUGCAAGUCGAGCGGUAAGGCCCUUUCGGGGGUACACGAGCGGCGAACGGGUGAGUAACACGUGGGUGACCUGCCCUCAGCUCUGGGAUAAGCCUGGGAAACUGGGUCUAAUACUGGAUAUGACUCCACGGUGCAUGUCGUGGGGUGGAAAGCCUUGUGCGGCUGAGGAUGGGCCCGCGGCCUAUCAGCUUGUUGGUGGGGUGAUGGCCUACCAAGGCGACGACGGGUAGCCGGCCUGAGAGGGCGACCGGCCACACUGGGACUGAGACACGGCCCAGACUCCUACGGGAGGCAGCAGUGGGGAAUCUUGCGCAAUGGGCGAAAGCCUGACGCAGCGACGCCGCGUGAGGGAUGACGGCCUCGGUU